Hemicordylus capensis (graceful crag lizard) is the source of this 1785-nucleotide long non-coding RNA. RefSeq lists it as uncharacterized. The record is from RefSeq and is a predicted model, not a curated record. The transcript has 7 exons. Lineage: Eukaryota; Metazoa; Chordata; Lepidosauria; Squamata; Cordylidae.
AUGUUCCUGCCUUCCUAAUUAGCAUGAAUUAAAGCCCCCAUAGGUCUAGGCUGUGUGGAUGAGAAGUGUUGUAUACUCCCUCUUUAAGAGGCAAGCCCAGGAGACCUCAGGGGGAGACUGAUCAUGUGAGAGAACUAGAGGAAACUGUUUCACUUUUGUAGUAGAGGUCUGUGUGCAUGGUUGAGCCUGUAGUAUGAUCUCCUCAGGGCCCAAACAGUCCUAGGCCCAGAGGGACCAGUAACCAGAGACUCUCCCGACUCCUCAGUGAAAUUAUACUUAUUUCUCCAAUCCAUGGUGGACUGCCAGGUAUAGAGGAUUAGAUUAAAAGAUGGCCGAAUGGUGAUUGGCUGAGGAGUGACCUAGCAGGGCAGGCUGUGAAAAAGAUGACACUCAGUGGACCCUGCCUUUGGAGAUCUGCAUGAUCCAAAGCUGACUAGUUUGGACAUUUCAGGUCAUUUAUAGGUACCCCAUCCCACUGCCUGCACACAUGUCCUCUCCUUUUUCUGCUUCCUUCUUCAAGAUGGGAUAUGGUGAAAAGCAAGACUGAAAGCUGUGCUUAGGAUCUUCUGAGAAAUGACUGAGAAACAGGAGUUUGAAAAUCAACCAUUAAGAAGCUUGUUGGCAACCUAUAUUUGGCCAAAGAUCUGAAAGGAAAAAUCCUAAAGGAGGAACCACCCCUGAAGCUUCCCCAGUGUAACUCAAUGGAAUGGAAUGUCUGUGGAAUCAGAGGGCAGUUAACAGAUGGAUGAAGCUAAUGGAACUCAGUGGCCAGGAGGCGGGGAAGGAGGGCUUGAACAAGAAGAGCAGGACAUUUCUCAGCUUGAAGAAUACUCCCUCAAGACAGUCACAAUUCCUCCUGUUUCUGAGGCGGAAGAAGGUGCCUAAAACUUUCACCAUGCUCACACGCAGACUUAGGUGUGAGGAGCCUGAUCCAGACUGGGACCACAACAUGGAGGUACAAGCCUGGCAGGUGAGUUUCUAAGGGACAUGAGAAAGGUGGAACAUCCAAUUUUGUUGAAGAUUCACAGGAAGGCUAAAGUCAACCACUCCAUUGAAGCUGUGACAUGACUUUUUAUUUUAAGGUCAUACCUCAUAAUACAUGUGAAGUGCUUUGAAUAAUCUCAAGUGCAAAGUAUUAUUCCAGCAGCUGGGACAUUUAGAAUCAAUAUACUAUCCAUCCAUCCAGUGAACAGAGCAGAGCUGAUCUGUUGACUAUUCCAUUCCAUCUGAGGACCCCAGUGCCACCCAGUUUAGAACAGCACAAUGCUCUGCUGUCACAUUGUGUGCUGUGUUACCCAAUGCCACAGACACUAAGUGCAGGCUGUCAUACAAUUUCAUCUACCAUCAUGCUUUUCUUCUCACAUGGUUGCAUUGCACAGGCCUACAGUAUACUCCCAGGUUAGUAUCAGUAUCAUUCUUUGUUGAAUUGUGUGAUUUUAAUGUCCUGGUGUGUCAUGCAGUCUUGUGUGUAUAUUAUUCUGUCGCAGGCAUUGCAUAGCAUUGUCAUUCUGCAUUGCAUGAUGUUAUGUAGCCCAGACAAUGGCAUCUUAGAGUGAAAACAGAUACAACAUUGUUAGUGUAUCUGUGGGGAUGGUCUGGGAGCACUGUCAUUGUGUUCAUUCCAAAUGUACCUCUUUCUCCCCUGGAUCAAGCUCUGGAGAAACCUGCUUUUAAUUGAAUCAGUUUGUAUGGGGUGAGGGAGUUGCUGUGGAUGGCACUGAUUGGCAAGUAUCUAUGAUGCCACCUCCCACCAAUUUAACAACUAUUUGUAAAAAAAUAAAAAUG